RNAcentral lists this ribosomal RNA (464 nucleotides) under uncultured bacterium. RNAcentral describes it as "partial 16S ribosomal RNA". It matches the Rfam family "Bacterial small subunit ribosomal RNA", at positions 28 to 506 of the family's 1533-position model. The record is from RNAcentral.
GACGAACGCUGGCGGCGUGCUUAACACAUGCAAGUCGUACGGUAAGGCCCUUUCGGGGGUACACGAGUGGCGAACGGGUGAGUAACACGUGAGUAACCUGCCCACAACUUUGGGAUAACGCUAGGAAACUGGUGCUAAUACUGGAUAUGUGCUCCUGCUGCAUGGUGGGGGUUGGAAAGCUCCGGCGGUUGUGGAUGGACUCGCGGCCUAUCAGCUUGUUGGUGGGGUAGUGGCCUACCAAGGCGGCGACGGGUAGCCGGCCUGAGAGGGUGACCGGCCACAUUGGGACGGAGAUACGGCCCAGACUCCUACGGGAGGCAGCAGUGGGGAAUAUUGCACAAUGGGCGCAAGCCUGAUGCAGCAACGCCGCGUGCGGGAUGACGGCCUUCGGGUUGUAAACCGCUUUCAGCAGGGACGAAGCUUUUUGUGACGGUACCUGCAGAAGAAGCACCGGCUAACUACGU